CCUACGGGGAGCAGCAGUGGGGAAUAUUGGACAAUGGGCGAAAGCCUGAUCCAGCCAUGCCGCGUGUGUGAAGAAGGCCUUCGGGUUGUAAAGCACUUUCAGUGGGGAAGAAAGCCUUGGGGCUAAUACCCUCGAGGAAGGACAUCACCCACAGAAGAAGCACCGGCUAACUCCGUGCCAGCAGCCGCGGUAAUACGGAGGGUGCGAGCGUUAAUCGGAAUUACUGGGCGUAAAGCACGCGUAGGCGGUCUGAUAAGCCGGUUGUGAAAGCCCCGGGCUCAACCUGGGAACGGCAUCCGGAACUGUCAGGCUAGAGUGCAGGAGAGGAAGGUAGAAUUCCCGGUGUAGCGGUGAAAUGCGUAGAGAUCGGGAGGAAUACCAGUGGCGAAGGCGGCCUUCUGGACUGACACUGACGCUGAGGUGCGAAAGCGUGGGUAGCAAACAGGAUUAGAUACCCGGGUAGUC
This 465-nucleotide ribosomal RNA is filed under the name Vreelandella stevensii. Its description in RNAcentral is "partial 16S ribosomal RNA". It matches the Rfam family "Bacterial small subunit ribosomal RNA", at positions 338 to 795 of the family's 1533-position model. Lineage: Bacteria; Pseudomonadati; Pseudomonadota; Gammaproteobacteria; Oceanospirillales; Halomonadaceae. The record is from RNAcentral.